Molecule: ribosomal RNA, 308 nt
Filed under: Serratia marcescens
Lineage: Bacteria; Pseudomonadati; Pseudomonadota; Gammaproteobacteria; Enterobacterales; Yersiniaceae
Description: bacterial LSU rRNA
Rfam family: Bacterial large subunit ribosomal RNA
Source: RNAcentral
GUUGUGAGGUUAAGUGACUAAGCGUACACGGUGGAUGCCUAGGCAGUCAGAGGCGAUGAAGGGCGUGCUAAUCUGCGAAAAGCGUCGGUAAGGUGAUAUGAACCGUUACAACCGGCGAUACCCGAAUGGGGAAACCCAGUGUGUUUCGACACAUUAUCAUGUCAUGAAUACAUAGUGGCAUGAGGCGAACCGGGGGAACUGAAACAUCUAAGUACCCCGAGGAAAAGAAAUCAACCGAGAUUCCCCCAGUAGCGGCGAGCGAACGGGGAGGAGCCCAGAACCUGAAUCGGCUUGUGUGUUAGUGGAAG